Molecule: long non-coding RNA, 3219 nt
Organism: Medicago truncatula (barrel medic)
Lineage: Eukaryota; Viridiplantae; Streptophyta; Magnoliopsida; Fabales; Fabaceae
Exons: 9
Source: RefSeq, a predicted model, not a curated record
GUGGAAAUCAUUCUCAAUUUGGUUUUUUGAACUUCAAGAAAUUCAUAAAGACAAACCUGGAACUUGUAACUAACUUGACUGAUUCUCAAACUAAUCGAACCAAUUAUAAACUGAAUGUUACAAUAUAUGAUCAUAAUACUAAGAUAGUUUGAUCUUUCAAGCUUAUGUUUUCUUCAUGGAAGUGCAUCUUGCAUUAGACUUGCAUGACUUCAUUUUUUAUUGUCAGGAUUUAUGAAAUGGCCAUGAAGGAAAAGUUUGAUACUGUUUUUUGACACAGUAUCAAACUCAUGGAAGUUAUAUGACACUUCAAGCGAAGAGGUAAACACUCUUAUAUAUCUCUCAUAAUUCACAUCCUACAAUUCUUGUAAAGUACUCUCUCUCUCUUUAUUUUUAAAUUUCAUAUUGCUCAAAUUGGGUUUUAACAUUAAAAGGGAUUAUUUUUAAUGGUGUCAAAACUCAUUUCUACCGUUUUUUUUUUAAUUGAUGUCUAAACCUAUUUCUAUUGUUUAAAUUCGCAAAUAAUCAUCCUAAAUUUUAGGUUUGAACAUUGUUGUCAUUAUUUCAUAGUCAAACAAAGCAGGGAUCUGAUGUUAGCAUCCCGAGUUCAGUACCAAUAUCUAAUAAACAAAUUACCAAAAUCAAAAAUUUCUGUUAACUAAAAAAUUAACAAAUAGCCGUGAGUUUAGAAAGCAAUUAAUGACGAUUGAUUUGAUCGGUUUGCUAAUGUCUAUUCAGCGUGUUCUCUUCUCUGAAAUUGCUACUCCUAUAUAAAGGACUACUCAACGCUUUUUGCUCCUCUUUUUUUCCAUUUCAGGCUGUAAAUUCACCAUCAAAAAAGUGAUUUCCGUGUUGAAACUCCAAUGUUGGAAACUUAUUAUUUUUGUCUCUAAUUUUUGUUUGGAAUUUUUCAAGCCUAAGUUCUAUUUUUUUCUUCAUUUAUCAAAUCAUAUUUUUCCUUUUUGCCCAAGUCUAAGCAUUUUAGAUCCUUUUUUCAUACAAUUUUUUGUCAUAAGAAUAAUUGGUUCCUUACUUUGUGGUAGUUUAGCCUCUUAAAAGGAAUGCUUACAGGAAGAGAAAUUCACUAUGCAAUUUGUUAAUAAAUAAACUAUUCCUCUUCAAUAUUCCCUUAUUUCUCAGUUUUGACUUAUUUAGGUGCUUAUUAUUUAUAAAUGAUAAAAAGACACAAUCUCUUGAUUUCACAAGAUUUAAGGUAGAGCUACUGACUGUUGAUGAUGCUCAGCCUUCAUAUAAUAACGAGAUUUGAUUGUUGUUUUGUUUCAAAUGGUAGCUUCCUCAAUUUAGGUCUUUCAAACAGUUACGCAAGUAAUUAAGAGUGAAAAUAAUGAAACAAAAGCAUGAAUCUCGAAAGGGUUUAUUAGGCAGAACGUUGGUACCUAAUCAGCAUCUUCCACUCUACAGCUGGAAUCAGACAACCAACCUUGUCUGUGCAUGGAUGAGUUUCAUUACCUUGAUUAUUAGGUGGAACAUGCUUUUAAGUACCUCUUUCUUGGACUUCUGGUGUCUUGUAAAUCAACGAUACGUGGAAAACAAAAAAAGGAAACUAAUGUCAAUUGGAGAAUAUAAGUAAACUUUUGAGUAUUAUGGAACCAGCCAAAUCUGGACCUAAACAUAAUGGUGGAAGGCAAUGGGAAAUUGAACAUGUAGUAGAACAAUUAGAUUAUUGGCAAAGUGAAGAUUUCAACGACAAAGCAAUGGAGAGGUGGAAGGAAAUGGAAAUUGGUGGAUGACCCUGCAACAAAAGCAUCAUAUAUAUAGAAAGGGAUGGAUGACCUGCAACAAAAGCAUCAUAUAUAUAAAAAAAUAAAAUCAAAUAAGACAAACUUUCAACUUGUCUUUAUAGUAUUUUUUUAUUUUUAUUUUUUUGCUUUAUAGGGCGGAGCCUCUAUAGGCUAUAUUGUGUAUAUUGUUUUUGUAGUUUGAUAGGCUUUUUUACUUUCUUAAACAUAUUAAAUGGGGCUGUAAAAUAUUGAAAGAAUGGAUAGGCAAAAGAAAGCAUAUCAGAUGUACUCUAUUAAUUUUUUUUAUCAAGAACCAUCACCUCCUAAUCCUUUAUUAUAAAAGCCAGAUUUGAUGAGCUGGCAGUGUUGCCCUAAUCACUUCUUAUUUUCCCUCCCAAAUUUGUAAUUAAUGCUAAUCUCAUCUGCCAACCACAUCCUAAAUCUCAGCCUUUGAUCUGAUGACCUUUCAUGUUCCUAGAUAACCCAAUCAUAAUCUUAAGUUGUACACUUCCCCACAUUGCAUGCACAUAUCUCUGUUAACUAUGCAGCACACUACUCAAUAAGCCUUCGCUAAUCAGUUUUAGAUAUGCACACCACAUGUUUGAUAAAAUGUUUUAGUGAGCAAUUGGAUCUCCAAAGCUUUCCUCCAAAGAUAGCCCUCUUGACCACAUAUGUAUACCAUGUUUCUGAUAAAAUGUUGUAGUGGAAUGGGAAACUUUCUCUCCAAAGUUAGUCCUCUCUAUCAAUGACAUUUAGAUUGAUGCUUCCCUCUUUGGAAUAUAUGUUCGUGUGUCAUUGUUGACUAUUGUGUAAGUAAAGUGAUAUUGGAGUGGUUAAUAUCUCUAUAUAAAUAGUUCAUGAUCAUCGCUUUCAUUCUUACUAUUAUGUUUUAUUUUCAGAGACUAAAGAACAGGGGUUUCCCAUUCAUAUUGAUCACCAUUUAUAGCAGACCUCUUUUACUCUUCUGCCUUUAGAUUAGCGACUGCAUACUCUCUUUCUCACUUGAUAACAUGUUCUUCAUAUCAGCAAAUUGGCAUCAACAUCCCUCCUUUGUUUAGGCCGAAAUCUUUAAGAGUUACACAUCUUCUCUCUUGCUUAUUUAUGGUUAUGGUUCACACUUCUCCUAUGCAUAAAUCCAACAAAAGAUGUCUAAAUACAUCUUCAAUUGAUGGCAUUGGCAUGGAUUAAAUUUAUCUUUGUUGAUCGUUUGUUGCUUAAAUUUAUAUAGCACGGUAGUUUUUCUUUGUGUUCUAAUUUUUUUUAUUGCUCAUUCAUGGAAAUUGUUCAGCAUAAUCUUUCUUUUGUCUUGCAUAUAAUUUCAGAUAAUUAAGUGUUAGUAUCAACUCAGUUUUAAGUAAGAUUGCAUCAGGCUAUUCUUAUGGCGUUGUUCUUUGAACAUGAAUAAUAGUAAAGCAUUAGAAAUUAUAUAUGAACAUGAAUUAUUAAGUUAUGGUACAAAAUUUGAAGCUAUGAAUUAUUA